Molecule: ribosomal RNA, 524 nt
Filed under: uncultured Limnohabitans sp.
Lineage: Bacteria; Pseudomonadati; Pseudomonadota; Betaproteobacteria; Burkholderiales; Comamonadaceae
Description: bacterial SSU rRNA
Rfam family: Bacterial small subunit ribosomal RNA
Source: RNAcentral
UAGGGUUUGAUCAUGGCUCAGAUUGAACGCUGGCGGAAUGCUUUACACAUGCAAGUCGAACGGCAGCACGGACUUCGGUCUGGUGGCGAGUGGCGAACGGGUGAGUAAUGUAUCGGAACGUGCCCAGUCGUGGGGGAUAACGUAGUGAAAAUUACGCUAAUACCGCAUACGAUCUAUGGAUGAAAGCGGGGGAUCGCAAGACCUCGCGCGAUUGGAGCGGCCGAUAUCAGAUUAGGUAGUUGGUGGGGUAAAGGCCCACCAAGCCAACGAUCUGUAGCUGGUCUGAGAGGACGACCAGCCACACUGGAACUGAGACACGGUCCAGACUCCUACGGGAGGCAGCAGUGGGGAAUUUUGGACAAUGGGCGAAAGCCUGAUCCAGCCAUUCCGCGUGCAGGAUGAAGGCCCUCGGGUUGUAAACUGCUUUUGUACAGAACGAAAAGGUUUCUACUAAUACUAGGAGCUCAUGACGGUACUGUAAGAAUAAGCACCGACUAACUACGUGCCAGCCGCCGCGGUAAUAC